UGAGGAAUAUUGGCCAAUGGGCGGGAGCCUGAACCAGCCAAGUCGCGUGAGGGAAGACGGUCUUACGGAUUGUAAACCUCUUUUGCCGGGGAGCAAAGGGCGCCACGCGUGGCGUUUCGAGAGUACCCGGAGAAAAGCAUCGGCUAACUCCGUGCCAGCAGCCGCGGUAAUACGGAGGAUGCGAGCGUUAUCCGGAUUUAUUGGGUUUAAAGGGUGCGUAGGUUGUUUUUAAGUCAGCGGUGAAAGUUUGUGGCUCAACCAUAAAAUUGCCGUUGAAACUGGAAGACUUGAGUGUGUUUGAGGUAGGCGGAAUGCGUGGUGUAGCGGUGAAAUGCAUAGAUAUCACGCAGAACUCCGAUUGCGAAGGCAGCGUACCGGCGCCCAACUGACGCUGAAGCACGAAGGCGUGGGUAUCGAACAGGAUUAGAUACC
This 432-nucleotide ribosomal RNA is filed under the name uncultured bacterium. RNAcentral describes it as "bacterial SSU rRNA". It matches the Rfam family "Bacterial small subunit ribosomal RNA", at positions 355 to 786 of the family's 1533-position model. The record is from RNAcentral.